GCUGGCGGCAUGCCUUACACAUGCAAGUCGAACGGCAGCACGGGGGCAACCCUGGUGGCGAGUGGCGAACGGGUGAGUAAUACAUCGGAACGUGUCCUGUAGUGGGGGAUAGCCCGGCGAAAGCCGGAUUAAUACCGCAUACGAUCUACGGAAGAAAGCGGGGGAUCCUUCGGGACCUCGCGCUAUAGGGGCGGCCGAUGGCAGAUUAGCUAGUUGGUGGGGUAAAGGCCUACCAAGGCGACGAUCUGUAGCUGGUGCUGAGAGGACGACCAGCCACACUGGGACUGAGACACGGCCCAGACUCCUACGGGAGGCAGCAGUGGGGAAUUUUGGACAAUGGGGGAAACCCUGAUCCAGCGAAUGCCGCGGUGUGUGAAGGAGGCCUUCGGGUUGUAAAGCACUUUUGUCCGGAAAGAAAACUUCUGCCCUAAGACGGUGGGAGGAUGACGGGACCGGAAGAAUAAGCACCGGCUAACU
Molecule: ribosomal RNA, 477 nt
Filed under: Burkholderiales bacterium D13
Lineage: Bacteria; Pseudomonadati; Pseudomonadota; Betaproteobacteria; Burkholderiales
Description: bacterial SSU rRNA
Rfam family: Bacterial small subunit ribosomal RNA
Source: RNAcentral